Molecule: ribosomal RNA, 490 nt
Filed under: uncultured bacterium
Lineage: Bacteria
Description: partial 16S ribosomal RNA
Rfam family: Bacterial small subunit ribosomal RNA
Source: RNAcentral
GAUGAACGCUAGCGGCAGGCCUAAUACAUGCCAGUCGAACGGGAUCCAGAUCAAAGCUUGCUUUGGUCUGGUGAGAGUGGCGCACGGGUGCGUAACGCGUGAGCAACCUACCCUUGUCAGGGGGAUAGCCCGGCGAAAGUCGGAUUAAUACCGCAUGACAUCAUUGAGAGGCAUCUUUCGAUGAUCAAAGAUUUAUCGGACAAGGAUGGGCUCGCGUGACAUUAGCUCGUUGGUAAGGUAACGGCUUACCAAGGCUGCGAUGUCUAGGGGCUCUGAGAGGAGAAUCCCCCACACGGGUACUGAGACACGGACCAGACUCCUACGGGAGGCAGCAGUAAGGAAUAUUGGUCAAUGGACGGAAGUCUGAACCAGCCAUGCCGCGUGCAGGAGGACGGCCCUAUGGGUUGUAAACUGCUUUUAUACGGGAACAAACGUCGGUACGUGUACCGGUCUGAGUGUACCGUAAGAAUAAGGAUCGGCUAACUCCGUG